RNAcentral lists this ribosomal RNA (459 nucleotides) under uncultured bacterium. RNAcentral's name for it is "partial 16S ribosomal RNA". It matches the Rfam family "Bacterial small subunit ribosomal RNA", at positions 338 to 795 of the family's 1533-position model. The record is from RNAcentral.
CCUACGGGUGGCAGCAGUGAGGAAUAUUGGUCAAUGGACGGAAGUCUGAACCAGCCAUGCCGCGUGCAGGAAGACGGCUCUAUGAGUUGUAAACUGCUUUUGUACAAGGGUAAACCUGAAUACGUGUAUUCAGCUGAAAGUACUGUACGAAUAAGGAUCGGCUAACUCCGUGCCAGCAGCCGCGGUAAUACGGAGGAUCCAAGCGUUAUCCGGAUUUAUUGGGUUUAAAGGGUGCGUAGGCGGUCCGGAAAGUCAGCGGUAAAAGCCCGGGGCUCAACCCCGGCGAGCCGUUGAAACUGUCGGACUAGAGACGGCGAGAAGUACGCGGAAUGCGCGGUGUAGCGGUGAAAUGCAUAGAUAUCGCGCAGAACUCCGAUUGCGAAGGCAGCGUACCGGCGCCGGACUGACGCUGAGGCACGAAAGCGUGGGUAUCGAACAGGAUUAGAUACCCUAGUAGUC